This 174-nucleotide ribosomal RNA is filed under the name uncultured soil bacterium. RNAcentral's name for it is "partial 16S ribosomal RNA". It matches the Rfam family "Bacterial small subunit ribosomal RNA", at positions 26 to 209 of the family's 1533-position model. The record is from RNAcentral.
AGAUUGAACGCUGGCGGCAGGCCUAACACAUGCAAGUCGAGCGGCAGCACGGGUACUUGUACCUGGUGGCGAGCGGCGGACGGGUGAGUAAUGCCUAGGAAUCUGCCUGGUAGGUGGGGGAUAACGCUACGGAAACGGACGCUAAUACCGCAUACGUCCUACGGGAGAAAGCGA